This 180-nucleotide ribosomal RNA is filed under the name Arabidopsis thaliana (thale cress). The record is from RNAcentral. Lineage: Eukaryota; Viridiplantae; Streptophyta; Magnoliopsida; Brassicales; Brassicaceae.
CAAAUGGAUCAUAAAGUCUUCAAAAAAUAAUAGAUUCAAUUGCAAUGCAUGUAGUAACAGAUGACUUUCAUACUAGCACUAAUGCACCGGAUCCCAUCAGAACUACGUAGUUAAGCGUGCUUGGGCGAGAGUAGUACGAGGAUGGGUGACCUCGAGGAAUGUCCUUGUAUUGCAUCUCUC